This 296-nucleotide long non-coding RNA is filed under the name Mytilus galloprovincialis (Mediterranean mussel). Lineage: Eukaryota; Metazoa; Mollusca; Bivalvia; Mytilida; Mytilidae. The record is from RNAcentral.
UCGCCUUCAAGAAGGUAAUUGACCUUAUCUAAAAUAACAACAUUGUUACUUUUAUCGGCUUUCUUAAUGAUUAAUGAUUCAUCAUUUAACAGAGAAGAAAUGCCGGACCUCUGUGAAAGACUUAGAUUGUUUCGAAAUUUUCGAAUUUGCAUUGAAGAUAGUUCGUGCUUUGUAUUAAACAGGUAAUUUUCAAGGGUGUUGCAGCUUAAAGGUGGCGUAUGUCCAGAUUUAACUCUGAAGGGAUGAAUUUCAUCCAAGUUACCAUGAUAUAAGUAACGACAUCUCAUUUUUCUGGC